This 306-nucleotide long non-coding RNA is filed under the name Nicotiana benthamiana. RNAcentral's name for it is "long non-coding RNA (NBEN_LNC034748)". The record is from RNAcentral. Lineage: Eukaryota; Viridiplantae; Streptophyta; Magnoliopsida; Solanales; Solanaceae.
AAUGCAAAAGAACCUGUACAAGUUACUUUUACUUUGUAACCAUUAGGUAAAGUUACAAGAUAAGGAACAGUCAAAGGUAUGAUGUUAAAGAGUAGGUGUUUAUCAUGUGUCAUAUGAUUAGAUGCCCCUGAAUCAAUGAUGCAGGUGACAGAAUUAAGAUGUGUAAGCAUGCAUAAUUUGGAAUAAGAAACAAGACUCUCAGUUAACAUUGUACCAGCAAAAUUAGCAGCACACAUGGGAGGAAGAGCUUGACCACUGGAAUCCCCUAACUUGGUCUGUUGCAACAGGCUCAUCAAUUGAUCAUAG